RNAcentral lists this ribosomal RNA (404 nucleotides) under uncultured bacterium. Its description in RNAcentral is "bacterial SSU rRNA". It matches the Rfam family "Bacterial small subunit ribosomal RNA", at positions 355 to 776 of the family's 1533-position model. The record is from RNAcentral.
UGGGGGAUAUUGCACAAUGGGGGAAACCCUGAUGCAGCAACGCCGCGUGAGGGAAGAAGGUUUUCGGAUUGUAAACCUCUGUCCUCAGGGAAGAUAAUGACGGUACCUGAGGAGGAAGCUCCGGCUAACUACGUGCCAGCAGCCGCGGUAAUACGUAGGGAGCAAGCGUUGUCCGGAUUUACUGGGUGUAAAGGGUGCGUAGGCGGGAUAUCAAGUCAGACGUGAAAUCCAUCGGCUUAACUGAUGAACUGCGUUUGAAACUGGUAUUCUUGAGUGAGUCAGAGGCAGGCGGAAUUCCCGGUGUAGCGGUGAAAUGCGUAGAGAUCGGGAGGAACACCAGUGGCGAAGGCGGCCUGCUGGGGCUUAACUGACGCUGAGGCACGAAAGCGUGGGGAGCAAACAGG